This is an RNA transcript of Acipenser ruthenus (sterlet), 627 nucleotides long. RefSeq lists it as uncharacterized. The transcript is spliced from 2 exons. NCBI's taxonomy places the organism in Eukaryota, Metazoa, Chordata, Actinopteri, Acipenseriformes, Acipenseridae. The record is from RefSeq and is a predicted model, not a curated record.
AUUAUGAGGUUACAUUUAAUCAGACAGGUAAUUGUUCGUGUGCAUGUGUUAUUUUUGAGUUUUUAACAGCUGUUUUUGGUUGAAAAAUAAAGCGUUGUAGAAAUGACAUUGCAUACUGUUAGUUUGUCCACUCCCGUAUACCGUGCUUGUUGUUUUGCAUCAUGACCUUUCUUAACUUUUAUGCAGCCUGGAGAGCGCUAGUCUUAUUCAAGUUAUGACAUUGUAGACUUGGUAAGAGACUGCUGUGGGCAUUUUGUGGUAAAGCACUGCAGUGGGCGUGUCACCCUGAGAGGCUACGUGAGGAUUUUGAAAGAAGAUUGCAGAUUCACCAGCAAAAAUGAUAUUUGGAAGACUAUCCUUUUCUCAAAUUGCACUGGUGACUCUCAUCGGAGUUGCUGGGGGAGUGUAUGUGUACAAACCAAUCUAUGAGCAGUAUAACAAAGAGCAGAGGUUACUUAAAGAAAAGAAAGAGCCACAACAGCUGGGAGAGCAGAAGGAAAACUCGAACAGUAAAACAGACUGUGGGUGCCAUCAUUAAACAGCGCUGUGCCUUUGCUUUUGAUGAUGAUGAAUGCAAAGUAUUGUUGGUCAGAAAUGGAACUGUAAUAAAUCAUUGCAACUCUAGAA